GGGCUCGAGUGCGGCCUCGGGGCCACCUCCCACCCGUGUUGCCCGAACCUAUGUUGCCUCGGCGGGCCCCGCGCCCGCCGACGGCCCCCCUGAACGCUGUCUGAAGUUGCAGUCUGAGACCUAUAACGAAAUUAGUUAAAACUUUCAACAACGGAUCUCUUGGUUCCGGCAUCGAUGAAGAACGCAGCGAAAUGCGAUAACUAAUGUGAAUUGCAGAAUUCAGUGAAUCAUCGAGUCUUUGAACGCACAUUGCGCCCUCUGGUAUUCCGGAGGGCAUGCCUGUCCGAGCGUCAUUGCUGCCCUCAAGCCCGGCUUGUGUGUUGGGCCCCGUCCCCCCCGCCGGGGGGACGGGCCCGAAAGGCAGCGGCGGCACCGCGUCCGGUCCUCGAGCGUAUGGGGCUUCGUCACCCGCUCUAGUAGGCCCGGCCGGCGCCAGCCGACCCCCAACCUUUAAUUAUCUCAGGUUGACCUCGGAUCAGGUAGGGAUACCCGCUGAACUUAAGCAUAUCAAUAAGCGGAGGAC
RNAcentral lists this ribosomal RNA (523 nucleotides) under Penicillium citrinum. RNAcentral's name for it is "eukaryotic LSU rRNA". The stretch from base 140 to 293 matches the Rfam family "5.8S ribosomal RNA". Lineage: Eukaryota; Fungi; Ascomycota; Eurotiomycetes; Eurotiales; Aspergillaceae. The record is from RNAcentral.